CCUCAGGCAAGGGGGAGAGGACAAACGAAUGCAAACUCAGGAGGAAGCAGGUAGCAAUCCCUCAUUCAUCAACUCAUCUCGUCUCAGUUCCAAGAAGUUUAUGAGAUGGCUUACCAAAAAUACAUAUAAGGUGCCAGGAGGGAUUUCCCGGCGGUGAGGAGAGGAGAAAUGAAGACGACUUCAUCAGGGAGGCAGUCGAGGCUCCCAGCGCUCCGGGAAGGAGGGAGAGGGGCCCACUGCCCACCCCGAGUGGGCAGGGGCCUUCUGUGCCAUCGCCCAGCACCGAGGACAGCGCCUGGCACAGAGUCUUUGCAGAAGAGUUGGAGUCUCGUUUAUAUCUGCACACUCUCACCUGCAUUUCUCACAGUUGCACCUGCUGGACAGUGUGUAACUUUGGGAAUGGAACCUCAGUUCCCCCGAAACUUUCGUCUGUAAAUGGAACUACUGUGCCUCCCUGGGGGUGGGAGAGAAGAUAAAUGAAACCAUCUCUUCGCUCAUUCCAGCAAAUAUUUACUGUGUACCUACAGCACGUCAGGCACUGUUCUAAAUC
Choloepus didactylus (southern two-toed sloth) is the source of this 550-nucleotide long non-coding RNA. RefSeq lists it as uncharacterized. Lineage: Eukaryota; Metazoa; Chordata; Mammalia; Pilosa; Megalonychidae. The transcript is spliced from 4 exons. The record is from RefSeq and is a predicted model, not a curated record.